UCCGGAGGGUGCAAGCGUUAUCCGGAUUUACUGGGUUUAAAGGGAGCGCAGGCGGAUUGGUAAGUCAGUGGUGAAAUACCCGUGCUUAACAUGGGAACUGCCAUUGAUACUAUCAGUCUUGAAUAUCGUUGAGGUUUGCGGAAUGGGUCAUGUAGCGGUGAAAUGCAUAGAUAUGACCCGGAACACCUAUUGCGAAGGCAGCAGGCUAAACGAAGAUUGACGCUGAGGCUCGAAAGCGUGGGGAUCAAACAGG
This 253-nucleotide ribosomal RNA is filed under the name uncultured bacterium. Its description in RNAcentral is "partial 16S ribosomal RNA". It matches the Rfam family "Bacterial small subunit ribosomal RNA", at positions 524 to 776 of the family's 1533-position model. The record is from RNAcentral.